UACGGAGGGUGCAAGCGUUGUUCGGAAUCACUGGGCGUAAAGCGCGUGUAGGCGGCCUUUUAAGUCCGAUGUGAAAGCCCGGGGCUCACCCCCGGAAGUGCAUUGGAUACUGAAGGGCUGGAGUACCGGAGAGGAGGGUGGAAUUCCUGGUGUAGCGGUGAAAUGCGCAGAUAUCAGGAGGAACACCAGUGGCGAAGGCGACUACCUGGCCUGUUCUUGACGCUGAGGCGCGAAAGCUAGGGGAGCAAACGGG
RNAcentral lists this ribosomal RNA (253 nucleotides) under uncultured bacterium. RNAcentral describes it as "partial 16S ribosomal RNA". It matches the Rfam family "Bacterial small subunit ribosomal RNA", at positions 524 to 776 of the family's 1533-position model. The record is from RNAcentral.